RNAcentral lists this ribosomal RNA (500 nucleotides) under uncultured bacterium. Its description in RNAcentral is "bacterial SSU rRNA". It matches the Rfam family "Bacterial small subunit ribosomal RNA", at positions 7 to 501 of the family's 1533-position model. The record is from RNAcentral.
GAGAGUUUGAUCCUGGCUCAGAUUGAACGCUGGCGGCAGGCUUAACACAUGCAAGUCGAGCGGGGAAGAGUAGCUUGCUACUUAACUUAGCGGCGGACGGGUGAGUAAUACUUAGGAAUCUACCUAAUAGUGGGGGACAACAUCUCGAAAGGGAUGCUAAUACCGCAUACGCCCUACGGGGGAAAGCAGGGGAUCUUCGGACCUUGCGCUAAUAGAUGAGCCUAAGUCGGAUUAGCUAGUUGGUGGGGUAAAGGCCUACCAAGGCGACGAUCUGUAGCGGGUCUGAGAGGAUGAUCCGCCACACUGGGACUGAGACACGGCCCAGACUCCUACGGGAGGCAGCAGUGGGGAAUAUUGGACAAUGGGGGGAACCCUGAUCCAGCCAUGCCGCGUGUGUGAAGAAGGCCUUUUGGUUGUAAAGCACUUUAAGCGAGGAGGAGGCUCCCAGUAUUAAUACUACUGGAGAGUGGACGUUACUCGCAGAAUAAGCACCGGCUAAC